GCGACUAAGGAAUUGUUGUGG
Molecule: non-coding RNA, 21 nt
Filed under: Arabidopsis thaliana (thale cress)
Lineage: Eukaryota; Viridiplantae; Streptophyta; Magnoliopsida; Brassicales; Brassicaceae
Source: RNAcentral